GACGAACGCUGGCGGCGUGCUUAACACAUGCAAGUCGAACGGAAAGGCCCUGCUUUUGUUGGGUUCUCGAGUGGCGAACGCGUGAGUAACACGUGAGUAUCCUGCCCCUGACUUUGGGAUAACUUCAGGAAACUGGGGCUAAUACCGGAUAUGAUCUCCUGCUGCGUGGGGUGGGUUGGAAAGUUUCGGCGGUUGGGGAUGGACUCGCGGCUUAUCCGCUUCUUGGUGGGGUAGUUGCUUACCAAGGCUUUGACGGGUAGCCGGCCUGAGAGGGUGACCGGCCACAUUGGGACUGAGAGACGGCCCAGACUCCUACGGGAGGCAGCAGUGGGGAAUAUUGCACAAUGGGCGGAAGCCUGAUGCAGCAACGCCGCGUGCGGGAUGACGGCCUUCGGGUUGUAAACCGCUUUCGCCUGUGACGAAGCGUGAGUGACGGUAAUGGGUAAAGAAGCACCGGCUAACUACGUG
RNAcentral lists this ribosomal RNA (468 nucleotides) under uncultured bacterium. RNAcentral describes it as "partial 16S ribosomal RNA". It matches the Rfam family "Bacterial small subunit ribosomal RNA", at positions 28 to 507 of the family's 1533-position model. The record is from RNAcentral.